CCUACGGGAGGCAGCAGUGGGGAAUAUUGGACAAUGGGGGGAACCCUGAUCCAGCGAAGCAGCGUGAGUGAAGAAGUAUUUCGGUAUGGAAAGCUCUAUCAGUAGGGAAGAAAGAAAUGACGGUACCUGACUAAGAAGCCCCGGCUAACUACGUGCAAGCAGCCGCUGUAAUCCGUAGGGGGCAAGCGUAAACCGGAUUUACUGGGUGUAAAGGGAGCGUAGCCGGCGAGGCAAGUCUGAAGUGAAAGGCGGGGGCCCAACCCCCGGAUUGCUUUGGAAACUGUAUGGCUGGAGUGCAGGGGAGGGAAGUGGAAUUCGUAGUGUAGCGGUGAAAUGCGUAGAUAUUAGGAGGAACACCAGGGGCGAAGGCGGCUUACUGGACUGUAACUGACGUUGAGGCUCGAAAGCGUGGGGAGCAAACAGGAUUAGAUACCCUGGUAGUC
RNAcentral lists this ribosomal RNA (443 nucleotides) under uncultured bacterium. RNAcentral's name for it is "partial 16S ribosomal RNA". It matches the Rfam family "Bacterial small subunit ribosomal RNA", at positions 338 to 795 of the family's 1533-position model. The record is from RNAcentral.